Molecule: ribosomal RNA, 739 nt
Filed under: uncultured Glomus
Lineage: Eukaryota; Fungi; Glomeromycota; Glomeromycetes; Glomerales; Glomeraceae
Description: SSU rRNA
Rfam family: Eukaryotic small subunit ribosomal RNA
Source: RNAcentral
CCUACCAUGGUGGUAACGGGUAACGGGGUGUUAGGGCACGACACCGGAGAGGGAGCCUGAGAAACGGCUACCACAUCCAAGGAAGGCAGCAGGCGCGCAAAUUACCCAAUCCCGACACGGGGAGGUAGUGACAAUAAAUAACAAUACAGGGUCCUUUCGGGUCUUGUAAUUGGAAUGAGUACAAUUUAAAUCUCUUAACGAGGAACAAUUGGAGGGCAAGUCUGGUGCCAGCAGCCGCGGUAAUUCCAGCUCCAAUAGCGUAUAUUAAAGUUGUUGCAGUUAAAAAGCUCGUAGUUGAAUUUCGGGAUCAAUACGUCGGUCGUGCCUCGGUACGUACUAACGAUAUUGAUUUCUCCCUUCUGACGAACCGUGAUGUCAUUAAUUUGGUGUUACGGGGAGUUAGGACUGUUACUUUGAAAAAAUUAGAGUGUUUAAAGCAGGCAAUCGCUCGAAUACAUUAGCAUGGAAUAAUGAAAUAGGACGUUCGAACCUAUUUUGUUGGUUUCUAGGAUCGACGUAAUGAUUAAUAGGGAUAGUUGGGGGCAUUAGUAUUCAAUUGUCAGAGGUGAAAUUCUUGGAUUUAUUGAAGACUAACUACUGCGAAAGCAUUUGCCAAGGAUGUUUUCAUUAAUCAAGAACGAAAGUUAGGGGAUCGAAGACGAUCAGAUACCGUCGUAGUCUUAACCAUAAACUAUGCCGACUAGGGAUCGGAUGAUGUUAAUUUUUUAAUGACUCAUUC